RNAcentral lists this long non-coding RNA (382 nucleotides) under Mytilus galloprovincialis (Mediterranean mussel). The record is from RNAcentral. Lineage: Eukaryota; Metazoa; Mollusca; Bivalvia; Mytilida; Mytilidae.
AGGACGAAGAAUAUGAUAAAUUGAUUGAUUGUUGGUUGCUUAACGUCCAGUGGCAAAUAUUUCAUGCAUAUUCAGGACGAGAACAAGUUCACAAUAAAUACAAUAGGUAGGUUGUUGUAAAAGAGGCCAUUUAGGAUGAUGGUCGGGGAAAUUUGAACUGCCACUGGAAAAUGAGGGUAUAUUGGAUAGGGACAGAAAUUUUUCCUUGCAACAGGCCACCUACGGACCCCUCAAAGAGUUGUUGCAAGGGUUCUUAACGUGCAAAGAGCGUGGCACUCUCUUUACACGAGGCAUCGGAUUUAACGUCCCCUUCUGACGGACGUGACUGCGAACUUGAUACAUCCCGCACAGCCAAACGGACGCCCCACUUCGGCAAGCGUUU